UGGCGAGGUUGGGAAACGGUUAGAAAAUGGUUUUACAAAAAGCAACGUGUCGGUCAGACUAGUGUUUCUCCUCCUUUUCUUCUUCAUCCUAUCCUUCCCAAACAAUAAAAACAAAGCCACCCUACUAUUACAGUACCCUUUUUCUUCUCUCUCUCUCUCUCUCUACAGAAUCUAUAGCUUCCUUCCUUCACUCCCGUUCCAUGCCCAAUCGCCUCACAUCUGAUCUUUAAAACUAAUAUUUCCCAAUACUUGUUUUCUACUUCUUUAUUUUUUUUAUUUUAAAAAAAAGAUAAAUGGAUUCCCUUCAUGAUUCAAUAUCAGCGGCGAAUGCCGUCGCCACAAACGGCAACACGGUGCCGCCGUUCCUCAGCAAAACCUACGACGUGGUGGAUGAUCCAUCGACCAACUCCGUUAUCUCGUGGAGUAGCGCUAACAACAGUUUCGUUGUCUGGAAAGUGCCGGAGUUUUCAAGGGACCUUCUGCCUAAGUAUUUUAAGCACAAUAACUUCUCCAGCUUUGUCAGACAACUCAAUACUUAUGGUUUUAGGAAAGUUGACCCAGACCGUUGGGAAUUUGCAAAUGAGGGGUUCCUAAGAGGUCAGAAACAUCUCUUGAAAACUAUCAGCAGGCGGAAACCUGCUAAUGUCCAUGGUAAUCAACAACCUCAAGUUCAUAGCUCGGCAGUUGGAGCUUGCAUUGAGGUAGGGACGUUUGGGCUCGAAGAGGAGGUUGAAAGGCUUAAGAGGGACAAGAAUGUUCUCAUGCAGGAACUUGUUAGGUUGAGACAGCAGCAACAAGCCACAGAUAACCAGUUGCAAGCUGUUGGCCAGCGUGUACAGGUGAUGGAGCAGAGACAGCAGCAAAUGAUGUCUUUUCUUGCUAAGGCCAUGCAAAGUCCAGGUUUCUUAAGCCAGCUUGUACAGCAGCAGAAUGAAAGCAACAGACACCUUACUGGUGGAAACAAAAAGAGGAGACUCUCCAGGCAGGAUGAAGAAAAUUUAACCGGUGAACAUGGUACCAUAUUUCCUAAUAGACGGAUUGUAAAAUUUCAGCCUUCAUUGAAUGAGGCAGCGAAAGCAAUGCUGCACCAGAUAUUGAAGAUGAACACGUCACCUAGGUUGGAACCUUCGAUAGAUAACCCCGAUGCUUUCAUGAUUGAUGGUAUUCCUCCUUCCAAUGCAUUAGACAGCAGGAGCUGCUCCAGUCGAAUUUCUGGAGUGACACUGUCAGAAGUCCCACCAGCUUCUGGACAGUCUUAUCUGCAAGCAGAAUCAGGUUUUCCUAACAGUUGUCCGUGUACUGCCACUCAUUUAACAACUGAGAGUACUAACUCGGGUAAAAUAUCUGAUAUAAAUCAGCAUAAAUCACAAAAAGCAGCAGUCUUUCCAACUGUCCCUCAUAUGCAAGGGGUUGUGACUGAUAAUGAUGUUGGCUUUACAAAUGCAAGUUCGGGAGGAGGGUCUCAGAGAGUGAAUGCAGAGUACAUUGACCCUGUGUCAGCCAUUUUGAAUGGUGCAAGACCAAUACAAACGGAUGACUUUUCUAGUGAUCGUGAUAUGGACAUGCUGCUGGAUGGAACCCCCAAGCUUCCAGCAAUUAGUGAUGUUUUCUGGGAACAGUUUCUUACAACAAGCCCGCCCAGUGGGGACUCUGAUGAAAUUAACUCGAGUUCUCCAGAAAAUGGCGCAAGUUGUGAACCUGAAUUACUGUUGGGGAAGAAUAAUGGGCGGGAUAGGAUUCAACAUACGAAUCAUCUCACAGAGCAAAUGGGCCUUCUUACAACAGAUAACCGGAGAGGCUGAUGCCCUACAAAUUGUGUAUGUCUGGAAAUUGUGAUUAGAUAAUUUUCACUAUUUGUUAUUGAGAUCCAUCUUCUCUGGACUCCCGUAAAGUGAAUUUGACACACUGGGACAUGGAAUUAUGGAGAAGGUGUUUGCAAUGGUGGCAAAUCCUAGAGACUUUGUUUAAGCUUCUGGACUGCUUUUGUUUGAGCUUCCUUCCAUGGAGGGGGAUCUUUUUUCAACAUCUUGCUCAAAGAUCUGGAUAGACCAAAUACGGAGUUAGAUCGAGGAAAAAAGAAAGUAUUAGAUUAGUAGCCUACGAAUUUACAUACACUUGUCGAGUAACUUGGAAGCUCGUUAAGGUUGGAAGCUGGUCGGAGUCACAUCACACUAUUUAUCGGCCUUUUUUGUAUAUUUAAUAAAUCAACUUUGGUUAUAAUGGCAUAUAUAGGUUAAUUUGGUCAUUUAUGGUAUGUAAAUGUUUUGUUGUGAUUAGCCAUUUGAAUGGCUUAUGUUUGAUACAUUUUGACAUAUAAGUAUAUGACCUUAUUAUGGUUGAUGUGUGUUUUGGUAUGAUUGAAUAAUGGUUUACUAAUAGGCAUAUUGAGGCAUGGGUUGAUUUGGUA
Gossypium raimondii (Peruvian cotton) is the source of this 2407-nucleotide RNA transcript. It is a transcript of the gene named heat stress transcription factor A-1e, with no coding region annotated. The transcript has 6 exons. The record is from RefSeq and is a predicted model, not a curated record. NCBI's taxonomy places the organism in Eukaryota, Viridiplantae, Streptophyta, Magnoliopsida, Malvales, Malvaceae.